Molecule: unclassified non-coding RNA, 287 nt
Filed under: Caulerpa taxifolia
Lineage: Eukaryota; Viridiplantae; Chlorophyta; Ulvophyceae; Bryopsidales; Caulerpaceae
Description: partial miscellaneous RNA
Source: RNAcentral
AACAUCGGCUAAUUGUCGACCUUCAUAGGCUCUCUAGUGAACACUCUCUUACUGAGAGAGGUUGCUCGACUCUAUGAAGCAGUGGUUCAGUGAGCAAGCAUUCCAUACGCGAUGUGGCUAUGCUUGUGACGACUCCCUCUCACUAUCGACUACUGACUGAGAUUAACGACAGUAUUGUGACUUGCAUACUCUAUGUGCUUGUCCUAUAGCAAUCAAUCGCUGAGAUUGAAUGCCUAGAAACUGUGCUCAGCAAUAGUAGUCAGGUGUCAGAACGUGUAUCUAUAUUU